This 400-nucleotide unclassified non-coding RNA is filed under the name soil metagenome. RNAcentral describes it as "partial contains 5.8S ribosomal RNA, internal transcribed spacer 2, and large subunit ribosomal RNA". The stretch from base 1 to 122 matches the Rfam family "5.8S ribosomal RNA", at positions 35 to 154 of the family's 154-position model. The record is from RNAcentral.
GAUGAAGAACGCAGCGAAAUGCGAUACUUGGUGUGAAUUGCAGAAUCCCGUGAACCAUCGAGUCUUUGAACGCAAGUUGCGCCUCAAGCCAUUAGGUUGAGGGCACGUCUGCCUGGGCGUCACAUAUCGUUGCCUGAUGCCAGUUUCCUCGUGAUGGGUGACUGUGCAGGGCGAAUGAUGGCUUCCCGUGAGCAUUGUUGCCACAUGGUUGGUUGAAAAUUGAGUCCUUGGUAGGGAGCGCCGUGAUAGAUGGUGGUUGAGUGACGAACGAGACCCAAUCAUGUGAGACCCCUACCGAAUUUGGCCUUCAUGACCCACAUGCGUCUUUGGAACGCUCAUGACGAGACCUCAGGUCAGGCGGGGCUACCCGCUGAGUUUAAGCAUAUCAAUAAGCGGAGGA